RNAcentral lists this ribosomal RNA (497 nucleotides) under uncultured bacterium. RNAcentral describes it as "partial 16S ribosomal RNA". It matches the Rfam family "Bacterial small subunit ribosomal RNA", at positions 28 to 507 of the family's 1533-position model. The record is from RNAcentral.
GAUGAACGCUGGCGGCGUGCCUAAUACAUGCAAGUCGAGCGAACAGACGAGGAGCUUGCUCCUCUGACGUUAGCGGCGGACGGGUGAGUAACACGUGGAUAACCUACCUAUAAGACUGGGAUAACUUCGGGAAACCGGAGCUAAUACCGGAUAAUAUAUUGAACCGCAUGGUUCAAUAGUGAAAGACGGUUUUGCUGUCGCUUCUAGAUGGAUCCGCGCCGCAUUAGCUAGUUGGUAAGGUAACGGCUUACCAAGGCAACGAUGCGUAGCCGACCUGAGAGGGUGAUCGGCCACACUGGAACUGAGACACGGUCCAGACUCCUACGGGAGGCAGCAGUAGGGAACCUUCCGCAAUGGGCGAAAGCCUGACGGAGCAACGCCGCGUGAGUGAUGAAGGUCUUCGGAUCGUAAAACUCUGUUAUUAGGGAAGAACAAAUGUGUAAGUAACUAUGCACGUCUUGACGGUACCUAAUCAGAAAGCCACGGCUAACUACGUG